This is a long non-coding RNA of Lutzomyia longipalpis, 341 nucleotides long. RefSeq lists it as uncharacterized. The record is from RefSeq and is a predicted model, not a curated record. The transcript is spliced from 2 exons. Lineage: Eukaryota; Metazoa; Arthropoda; Insecta; Diptera; Psychodidae.
AUUUUGGGAAAAUUGUAUCAAUUUUUGUGAAUUUUCUUCUUAUUUGGAUUUAAUUGUGUGUGAUUUCACCUGGAAAAUGUCCACAUUCAAUACGUGGAGAUUCCCAGUUCUAUUUGGUGGCUUCCUUGCAUUUGCAGCUGUUGGUUUUAACUAUCGAGAAAAACUCUUCCCGGACAUUGAGCAACAGCGUGAAGCACUCUACAAUGAAGAUAAAGAAGGGUUGAAGCUAAUAAAAGAGACAAUAGCGGAGGCGAAAAUGAAGAAAACAUCUUGAGGAUAUUUUUUUUCUUUGUAUUCACUGCAUUUCUAUAGAAUUUAAUAAAACAUCUCUCCGUGAUUAA